GUUACUCCAAUAGCUGAAAAAAAAGGCAUGAAACUGUAAGAAUUAUUGUAUAUUAAAAAGGAAAAUAGAAAGUCCAAUAUGCAUGCAUUUUAAGCUGUACAUGUGCCAUAGCAGGCAUACUAAGUACUAAAAAACUUACAACACAUGCUGGAAUUUGAAAUUUAAUGAACAGUUUAAAUUUCGGAGACAACGUAAUAAGAAUCCAAGUCAUGAAUCCAUUCUAAGGGUCUGACUUGGAAAACACAGGUCAGAGUCAGACAAGAAUUAUCUGAUGUGAAAAAUUUUACUUUCUCUGGCAGAGAUCUUGAGAUAUACAAGACCUUAAUUUUGGCAGAAACUCAAGUGCUGGAUCGACAUUCAUAAAAAAAUUUUCGUUGUUGUUGUCUUUGUCUUUUAUUUUUCUCUGGUUCUGAUUGUAUAGAAUGAUAUAACACAAGGGCUCUAAACCAACCCUGCUAUGCUUCUGGAAAAAUCUCAAACUGUCCCUUAUGGUACAAUUAAUUCUUUCAAAGAUGCACAUAUUUCUGGAAGCAAUAAACUCUUCCAAAUGCCAUAAAUAUUAAUGAUGUUAAUCUGUCCCAUCACAAGCUUUAUCCAGAGUAAAAUGUUAAUUGAUAAGAGAAUUCAACUUAUCGUGACAUUUUAAGUCAAGUUUAGUACAUCAGGCCCCAACAAAGCAUCUACUAUUCCCUGAACUGCAGUAUCUGAUUGCAGCAAAGGAAAAAAAAUCUGACAAUAACAUGUACAAGUAUGUCAGAGUUGACAAGAUAGGUACUGCAUAAA
RNAcentral lists this unclassified non-coding RNA (783 nucleotides) under Hevea brasiliensis (rubber tree). The record is from RNAcentral. Lineage: Eukaryota; Viridiplantae; Streptophyta; Magnoliopsida; Malpighiales; Euphorbiaceae.